CCUACGGGAGGCAGCAGUGGGGAAUAUUGGACAAUGGGCGAAAGCCUGAUCCAGCCAUGCCGCGUGUGUGAAGAAGGCCUUCGGGUUGUAAAGCACUUUCAGUGGGGAAGAAAGCCUUGGGGCUAAUACCCUCGAGGAAGGACAUCACCCACAGAAGAAGCACCGGCUAACUCCGUGCCAGCAGCCGCGGUAAUACGGAGGGUGCGAGCGUUAAUCGGAAUUACUGGGCGGAAAGCGCGCGUAGGCGGUCUGAUAAGCCGGUUGUGAAAGCCCCGGGCUCAAACUGGGAACGGCAUCCGGAACUGUCAGGCUAGAGUGCAGGAGAGGAAGGUAGAAUUCCCGGUGUAGCGGUGAAAUGCGUAGAGAUCGGGAGGAAUACCAGUGGCGAAGGCGGCCUUCUGGACUGACACUGACGCUGAGGUGCGAAAGCGUGGGUAGCAAACAGGAUUAGAUACCCGGGUAGUC
RNAcentral lists this ribosomal RNA (465 nucleotides) under Vreelandella stevensii. RNAcentral's name for it is "partial 16S ribosomal RNA". It matches the Rfam family "Bacterial small subunit ribosomal RNA", at positions 338 to 795 of the family's 1533-position model. Lineage: Bacteria; Pseudomonadati; Pseudomonadota; Gammaproteobacteria; Oceanospirillales; Halomonadaceae. The record is from RNAcentral.